AGUNAGUNUAUGGCCCUUACGGCCUGGGCUCACACGUGCUACAAUGGUCGGUACAGAGGGUUGCCAAGCCGCGAGGUGGAGCUAAUCCCACAAAACCGAUCGUAGUCCGGAUCGCAGUCUGCAACUCGACUGCGUGAAGUCGGAAUCGCUAGUAAUCGCGAAUCAGAAUGUCGCGGUGAAUACGUUCCCGGGCCUUGUACACACCGCCCGUCACACCAUGGGAGUGGGUUGCACCAGAAGUAGCUAGUCUAACCUUCGGGAGGACGGUUACCACGGUGUGAUUCAUGACUGGGGUGAAGUCGUAACAAGGUAGCCGUAGGGGAACCUGCGGUUGGAUCANANNCCC
Molecule: ribosomal RNA, 346 nt
Filed under: Pseudomonas sp. BL224-7
Lineage: Bacteria; Pseudomonadati; Pseudomonadota; Gammaproteobacteria; Pseudomonadales; Pseudomonadaceae
Description: bacterial SSU rRNA
Rfam family: Bacterial small subunit ribosomal RNA
Source: RNAcentral